RNAcentral lists this ribosomal RNA (494 nucleotides) under uncultured Pseudomonadota bacterium. RNAcentral describes it as "bacterial SSU rRNA". It matches the Rfam family "Bacterial small subunit ribosomal RNA", at positions 8 to 526 of the family's 1533-position model. Lineage: Bacteria; Pseudomonadati; Pseudomonadota. The record is from RNAcentral.
AGAGUUUGAUCCUGGCUCAGAACGAACGCUGGCGGCAUGCUUAACACAUGCAAGUCGAACGCUUUUGGGGCUUCGGCCUCAAGGGAGUGGCGCACGGGUGAGUAGCGCGUGGGAACCUGCCCUCUUGUGGGGGAUAACCGCGGGAAACUGCGGCUAAUACCGCAUAAGCCCGGGAGAGCGAUCUUCCGGGGAAAGAUUUAUCGCGAGAGGAGGGGCCCGCGUCGGAUUAGCUUGUUGGUGGGGUAACGGCCUACCAAGGCAGUGAUCCGUAGCUGGUCUGAGAGGAUGAUCAGCCACACUGGGACUGAGACGCGGCCCAGACUCCUACGGGAGGCAGCAGUGGGGAAUAUUGGACAAUGGGCGCAAGCCUGAUCCAGCAAUGCCGCGUGAGUGAGGAAGGCCUUAGGGUUGUAAAGCUCUUUCGCGCGCGACGAUGAUGACGGUAGCGCGAGAAGAAGCCCCGGCNANNUUCGUGCCAGCCGCCGCGGUAAUUC